UCCGGUUUGGCACCGGCAGUCCUCCCAGAGUCCCCGCCAUGACGCGCUGGCAACUGGGAGCGGGGGUUGCGUUCGUUACCCCACUGAAGGGAACAACUCAAGCCACGAACUGACGACGACCAUGCAUCACCUGCCCAGCCGCCUUGCGGACGCUCUAGUUUCCUAAAGCAAUCGUCUGGGUUUCAAACCCUGGUGAGAUUCUUCGUUUGUCAUCGAAUUGAGCCGCAUGAUCCACCGCUUGUGCAAGUCCCCGUCUAUUCCUUUGAGUUUUAAUCUUGCGAUCGUACUACCCAGGCGCCCAACUUAACGCGUUUGCUUCGCCUCACAGAGGGUCGAUACUCCGUAAAGCCAGUUAGGAUCGUUUAGGGCGUGGACUAC
Molecule: unclassified non-coding RNA, 378 nt
Filed under: uncultured bacterium
Lineage: Bacteria
Description: contains 16S-23S intergenic spacer region
Source: RNAcentral